ACUCGGGAGAAGGAACUCGGCAAAUUAAUACCGUAACUUCGGGAGAAGGUAUGCCCCGGUAGUGUGAGGCGCCUGCGCGCUGAGCAUGAUGGGGUCGCAGAGAAUCGGUGGCUGCGACUGUUUAUUAAAAACACAGCACUCUGCAAAGACGAAAGUCGACGUAUAGGGUGUGACGCCUGCCCGGUGCCGGAAGGUUAAGUGAUGGGGUGCAAGCUCUUGAUCGAAGCCCCGGUAAACGGCGGCCGUAACAAUAACGGUCCUAAGGUAGCGAAAUUCCUUGUCGGGUAAGUUCCGACCUGCACGAAUGGCGUAACGAUGGCCACACUGUCUCCUCCCGAGACUCAGCGAAGUAGAAGUGUUUGUGAUGAUGCAAUCUCCCCGCGGCUAGACGGAAAGACCCCAUGAACCUUUACUGUAGCUUUGCAUUGGAUUGUGAACCGGCCUGUGUAGGAUAGGUGGGAGGCGCUGAAGCGUGGUCGCCAGAUCAUGUGGAGCCAACCUUGAAAUACCACCCUGGUUUGUUUGCGGUUCUAACCUUGGUCCGUUAUCCGGAUCGGGAACAGUGCAUGGUGGGCAGUUUGACUGGGGCGGUCUCCUCCCAAAGCGUAACGGAGGAGUUCGAAGGUACGCUAGGUACGGUCGGAAAUCGUGCUGAUAGUGCAAUGGCAUAAGCGUGCUUGACUGUGAGACUGACACGUCGAACAGGUGCGAAAGCAGGACAUAGUGAUCCGGUGGUUCUGAAUGGAAGGGCCAUCGCUCAACGGAUAAAAGGUACUCUGGGGAUAACAGGCUGAUACCGCCCAAGAGUUCAUAUCGACGGCGGUGUUUGGCACCUCGAUGUCGGCUCAUCUCAUCCUGGGGCUGUAGCCGGUCCCAAGGGUAUGGCUGUUCGCCAUUUGAAGAGGUACGUGAGCUGGGUUUAAAACGUCGUGAGACAGUUUGGUCCCUAUCUGCCGUGGGCGUUGGAUACUUGACGGAGCCUGCUCCUAGUACGAGAGGACCGGAGUGGACGUACCUCUGGUGUACCGGUUGUCAUGCCAAUGGCAUUGCCGGGUAGCUAUGUACGGAAGAGAUAACCGCUGAAGGCAUCUAAGCGGGAAACUCGUCUGAAGAUUAGGUAUCCCUGGGAACUUGAUUCCCCUGAAGGGUCGUUCUAGACCAGGACGUUGAUAGGUCAGGUGUGGAAGCGCAGUAAUGCGUUAAGCUAACUGAUACUAAUUGCCCGUGCGGCUUG
Molecule: ribosomal RNA, 1234 nt
Filed under: metagenome
Description: bacterial LSU rRNA
Rfam family: Bacterial large subunit ribosomal RNA
Source: RNAcentral